AGAGUUUGAUCCUGGCUCAGAUUGAACGCUGGCGGCAGGCCUAACACAUGCAAGUCGAGCGGCAGCGGAAAGUAGCUUGCUACUUUGCCGGCGAGCGGCGGACGGGUGAGUAAUGUCUGGGAAACUGCCUGAUGGAGGGGGAUAACUACUGGAAACGGUAGCUAAUACCGCAUAACGUCGCAAGACCAAAGAGGGGGACCUUCGGGCCUCUUGUCAUCAGAUGUGCCCAGAUGGGAUUAGCUAGUAGGUGAGGUAACGGCUCACCUAGGCGACGAUCCCUAGCUGGUCUGAGAGGAUGACCAGCCACACUGGAACUGAGACACGGUCCAGACUCCUACGGGAGGCAGCAGUGGGGAAUAUUGCACAAUGGGCGCAAGCCUGAUGCAGCCAUGCCGCGUGUAUGAAGAAGGCCUUCGGGUUGUAAAGUACUUUCAGCGGGGAGGAAGGCGUUGUGGUUAAUAACCACAGCGAUUGACGUUACCCGCAGAAGAAGCACCGGCUAACUCCGUGCCAGCAGCCGCGGUAAUACGGAGGGUGCAAGCGUUAAUCGGAAUUACUGGGCGUAAAGCGCACGCAGGCGGUCUGUCAAGUCGGAUGUGAAAUCCCCGGGCUCAACCUGGGAACUGCAUUCGAAACUGGCAGGCUAGAGUCUUGUAGAGGGGGGUAGAAUUCCAGGUGUAGCGGUGAAAUGCGUAGAGAUCUGGAGGAAUACCGGUGGCGAAGGCGGCCCCCUGGACAAAGACUGACGCUCAGGUGCGAAAGCGUGGGGAGCAAACAGGAUUAGAUACCCUGUAGUCCACGCCGUAAACGAUGUCGACUUGGAGGUUGUGCCCUUGAGGCGUGGCUUCCGGAGCUAACGCGUUAAGUCGACCGCCUGGGGAGUACGGCCGCAAGGGUAAAACUCAAAGGAAUUGACGG
This 918-nucleotide ribosomal RNA is filed under the name uncultured Gammaproteobacteria bacterium. RNAcentral's name for it is "bacterial SSU rRNA". It matches the Rfam family "Bacterial small subunit ribosomal RNA", at positions 8 to 916 of the family's 1533-position model. The record is from RNAcentral. Lineage: Bacteria; Pseudomonadati; Pseudomonadota; Gammaproteobacteria.